AUUGAACGCUGGCGGCAUGCUUUACACAUGCAAGUCGAACGGCAGCACAGGGAGCUUGCUCCUGGGUGGCGAGUGGCGAACGGGUGAGUAAUGUAUCGGAACGUGCCUGGUAGUGGGGGAUAACUACUCGAAAGAGUGGCUAAUACCGCAUGAGAUCUUUGGAUGAAAGCGUGGGACCUUCGGGCCUCGUUCUACUGGAGCUGCCGAUAUCAGAUUAGGUUGUUGGUGUGGUAAAGGCCUACCAAGCCUGCGAUCUGUAGCUGGUCUGAGAGGACGACCAGCCACACUGGGACUGAGACACGGUCCAGACUCCUACGGGAGGCAGCAGUGGGGAAUUUUGGACAAUGGGCGCAAGCCUGACCGAGCAAUGCCGCGUGCAGGACGAAGGCCUUCGGGUUGUAAACUGCUUUUGUAAAGAACGAAAAGACUUUGGCUAAUAUAUACAGAUCAUGACGGUACUGUAAGAAUAAGCAACGGCUAACUACGUG
This 488-nucleotide ribosomal RNA is filed under the name uncultured bacterium. Its description in RNAcentral is "partial 16S ribosomal RNA". It matches the Rfam family "Bacterial small subunit ribosomal RNA", at positions 30 to 507 of the family's 1533-position model. The record is from RNAcentral.